RNAcentral lists this ribosomal RNA (305 nucleotides) under uncultured bacterium. RNAcentral's name for it is "bacterial SSU rRNA". It matches the Rfam family "Bacterial small subunit ribosomal RNA", at positions 333 to 656 of the family's 1533-position model. The record is from RNAcentral.
UUUCUCCUACGGGGCGCAGCAGUGGGGGAUAUUGCACAAUGGGGGAAACCCUGAUGCAGCGACGCCGCGUGAGCGAUGAAGUAUUUCGGUAUGUAAAGCUCUAUCAGCAGGGAAGAAAAUGACGGUACCUGACUAAGAAGCCCCGGCUAACUACGUGCCAGCAGCCGCGGUAAUACGUAGGAUGCGAGCGUUAUCCGGAUUUAUUGGGUUUAAAGGGUGCGCAGGCGGCCUGUUAAGUCAGCGGUAAAAGCCCGGGGCUCAACCCCGGCGAGCCGUUGAAACUGGCGGGCUGGGGUUGGAGAGAG